GUACUGGAACUUGACAGUCCUCCUGUCCACCAGCCCUACCUCCACCCCAUCAUUCCCCUUCUCCCAAAGUACUACUGCUGUUGCAUAACAACCCCAAAUAUGUUCUGUCAACACAAACCUGCUUUUGGUCUAUAAACAGGGCGUUACAGAAUGGUACACCCAGUCUAUUUCUUCUCAGUAUCCAUUCGCCAGUUCUUCAUUUAUAAAUAUCGUCUUCCUCUGUUCUGCUGCUGAAUGCCACACAUCCAUCCAGUCUGAGAAAGUAAGAUAGGGAAUCCUGCCGAGGAACAAGCCAGCAAAGCUCUUUCACUGGAUGUAGACUGCACCUGCUGCCUUCCCUCUGGCGAGUCUGCCAGCAUGCUUCUCCAUCCUUUUUAUAUGUCCUUUGCUUCCCACUUCUGUGUACAUUCAACAUACUGUUCACGUAGUCAUGCAGUCUUUCUGCUUUUUGUGAAGCCUCAGAAUCUCCUCUGUUCUACUUGGCACCCCAAGCUAUGCCUGGUAUUGUAUUUCUGACUUGGCUCGAUAGUUCGGUGGUCUGGCAGUUUUUAUCUACCUUCAUUAUUAAAAGGCCCUCUGGAGCUGGGCGUGGUGGCUCACGCCUGUAAUCCCAGCACUGUGGGAGGCUGAGGUGGGCAGAUCACGAGGUCAGGAGAUCGAGACCAUCCUGGCUAACACGGUGAAACCCCGUCUUUACUAAAAAUACAAAAAAUUAGCCGGGCGUGGUGGCGGGUGCCUGUAGUCCCAGCUACUCGGGAGGCUGAGGCAGGAGAAUGGCGUGAACCUGGGAGGCAGAGCUUGCAGUGAGCCAAGAUCGUGCCACUACACUCCAGCCUGGGCGACAGAGCGAGACUCCAUCUCAAAAAAAAAAAAAAAAAAAGGCCCUCUGGGAUGUUGCCUCUCCAGGAGCUUUUUGGUAACCAACACUUCUCUCGGGAGUAUGAGAUCAUCCUCUGCACUCUUCUCUGUCAUCAAAGGGCUGCUGGGUGGAGAUAUUCUUGAAAGGUGGCCUUGGUGAGAGGUGUGGAGUCAAGUCUUUUAGGUUGCUUGCCCACGUCACUCUACCUCUGGCCUCUGAUUCUCAACUUUGUACCUAUGGGGCGUCUCUUGUUAGUGCAGUGUUGACUAUUCAAAAAGUAGCAAUAUGCCUGCAGAUUUGCUUAGUCUUGGGACACGGUUACCACCAGAACGGCUGCUCAGACAAUAUGCUUGGGGACUUUCUCAUGGCUUUUUGAACAAGGAGGCUGCGCACCCUGUGAAGCCUCCUGCAUUCACACCUCUGCUGCAUGGUUUAUGCCUCAGUGUUAUGUGCACUGGAAUGCUUUUCACUAUACGUUUCCAAGUUAGAAAGAUUAGUGUUAUGGAAGUGCCUAAUGUAUCCUAGUCCAAAAUAUUUAAAGAUUGUUCUCUGUGUCUUGAAGUUUUGCACAAAAUUCUUUAUGAAUUUUACACUUGGCAAAUGUUAAUGCUAGAAGCCAUAGUCCGCUUCUUAUACAAGUCCAAAGCGUUGACUGUUGUAUCAUUAGCUCCCUGGUUACACUGGUUUCCCAGCUCCUUGUGUAGACCACUGCUAAUCCCUUAGAAACAAGAGGUCUGGCACUAGUAGCACAACCUAAGGUGGCAUUCCAAGUCUUUAAGCAAGUCACAGCAACUUUUCUGCCAAAGUCAGCUUAGUUUAGACUUCAGUGAAUCAGGCUGUUGCCAUCCUAAUGUAUGUCUCUGUGAGUCUGUUCAUUCACAUAUCUGCCGUUGGCUGACUUUCUUGACUCGCUGCUUGCUUGCUUGUUUCCUUGCUUUGGAAAGCUAUUGAAGAUGUGUACAUAAUUCUUUAGGAAGGGGAUUGCUAAAAAAUACACUGCAAAGCGAUGGAAAACAGUGGAGAACAGGGGAGUAGCCAGGCUGGAUGGCUCAAAUAUAAAUGAAUGAGGAAUUCUUUAUGAAGUGUCAGUUGGACUUUGUGAUUGAGUGAUGUAAUACAGGAAUUAUAUAGAAAGGGAAGAAUAUCUGAUACUGAUCUGUUAGAUACUUCAGAGGCUCCUUGAUUUGCAUAUUUAAAGUUCCUAAAAUUGUAGCUUUUCCCUUCUUUUGGCUGUACAGCAGACUGUUUUAAUCCACGGUUGUGCCUUAUUGUUCCAUUAAAAUUGUGUCUUCAGUCCAUCAAUAAAUACUCGUGGUU
This 2176-nucleotide long non-coding RNA is filed under the name Homo sapiens (human). Its description in RNAcentral is "non-protein coding lnc-SLC22A1-3:2". Lineage: Eukaryota; Metazoa; Chordata; Mammalia; Primates; Hominidae. The record is from RNAcentral.